This 418-nucleotide ribosomal RNA is filed under the name uncultured bacterium. RNAcentral's name for it is "bacterial SSU rRNA". It matches the Rfam family "Bacterial small subunit ribosomal RNA", at positions 88 to 500 of the family's 1533-position model. The record is from RNAcentral.
GCGGCGAGUGGCGAACGGGUGAGUAAUACAUCGGAACGUGUCCUGGAGUGGGGGAUAGCCCGGCGAAAGCCGGAUUAAUACCGCAUACGCUCUGUGGAGGAAAGCGGGGGAUCUUCGGACCUCGCGCUCAAGGGGCGGCCGAUGGCAGAUUAGCUAGUUGGUAGGGUAAAGGCCUACCAAGGCGACGAUCAGUAGCUGGUCUGAGAGGACGACCAGCCACACUGGGACUGAGACACGGCCCAGACUCCUACGGGAGGCAGCAGUGGGGAAUCUUGGGCAAUGGCCGAAAGGCUGACCCAGCGACGCCGCGUGCGGGAGGACAGCCCCUCGGGGUGUAAACCGCUGUCGGGAGGGACGAAUCCUCCAGUCGGGAAUACCGGCUGGAGUUGACGGUACCUCCGGAGGAAGCGCCGGCUAA